GCUUCAAAGAACAAUGGAAUGUGGCAGUUACAAUGAUCUCAUUCUGUUGGGCAGAGUAACCUAGGAUAAUGAGCAGAAUUCUCGCAGCUGCGGAGGCUAAAGGAAAUGAAAUUACAAAGCAGAUUUUUAUUUUGAGUAGAGAAAGGUCUCUUAAACAUGGCCGCGGUUAGGCUAAAGUAGACAAUUUCUCUACAGCGGUUCACAAAACAUGUUUCAUAUGAGCAAUCAGAACAGGAAGAGAAACUAUUCUCACUUUUCUCUCCCUCGCAGGCAGUGAAGAGAGAGUGUUGGUCCGUUCUCUUUGUGGAAGCGUGGAAACCACAACUGCACCUCCAGUCCAGUCUCCAGUUUCCUUUGAGGAGGUGGCUGUGUAUUUCACCAAGACAGAGUGGGCCCUGCUGAAUCUGCACCAAAGAGCUCUCUACAUUGAAGUCAUGCAGGAGAAUUACGAGAGUGUGGCCUCUCUGGGAGGCGGGAAUGUAAGAGAGACUAUGAUGGAAACAGACGAAGGCCUUACAUCUGAAGAAAGGCUGAAGAGGUUGCCAAAAAGAUCCCAACAGAGUAUUUCCUUUGCAGAUGAGCUGGCUGGAA
Sphaerodactylus townsendi is the source of this 591-nucleotide long non-coding RNA. RefSeq lists it as uncharacterized. The record is from RefSeq and is a predicted model, not a curated record. Lineage: Eukaryota; Metazoa; Chordata; Lepidosauria; Squamata; Sphaerodactylidae. The transcript has 3 exons.